Molecule: ribosomal RNA, 253 nt
Filed under: uncultured bacterium
Lineage: Bacteria
Description: partial 16S ribosomal RNA
Rfam family: Bacterial small subunit ribosomal RNA
Source: RNAcentral
UACAGAGGGGGCAAGCGUUGUUCGGAAUUACUGGGCGUAAAGGGCGCGUAGGCGGCCUUCUAAGUCGAACGUGAGAUCCCCGGGCUCAACCCGGGAACUGCGUCCGAUACUGGAAGGCUUGAAUCCGGGAGAGGGAUGUGGAAUUCCAGGUGUAGCGGUGAAAUGCGUAGAUAUCUGGAGGAACACCGGUGGCGAAGGCGGCAUCCUGGACCGGUAUUGACGCUGAGGCGCGAAAGCCAGGGGAGCAAACGGG